RNAcentral lists this ribosomal RNA (253 nucleotides) under uncultured bacterium. RNAcentral's name for it is "partial 16S ribosomal RNA". It matches the Rfam family "Bacterial small subunit ribosomal RNA", at positions 524 to 776 of the family's 1533-position model. The record is from RNAcentral.
UACGAAGGGGGCUAGCGUUGCUCGGAAUCACUGGGCGUAAAGGGUGCGUAGGCGGGUCUUUAAGUCAGGGGUGAAAUCCUGGAGCUCAACUCCAGAACUGCCUUUGAUACUGAGGAUCUUGAGUCCGGGAGAGGUGAGUGGAACUGCGAGUGUAGAGGUGAAACUCGUAGAUAUUCGCAAGAACACCAGUGGCGAAGGCGGCUCACUGGCCCGGUACUGACGCUGAGGCACGAAAGCGUGGGGAGCAAACAGG